Molecule: ribosomal RNA, 729 nt
Filed under: uncultured archaeon
Lineage: Archaea
Description: bacterial SSU rRNA
Rfam family: Archaeal small subunit ribosomal RNA
Source: RNAcentral
UUCCCCGUUGAUCCUGCCGGAGGCCACUGCUAUUGGGAUUCGAUUAAGCCAUGCGAGUCGAGAGGGUUCGGCCCUCGGCUGACGGCUCAGUAACACGUGGAUAAUCUGCCCUUAGGUGGAGGAUAACCUCGGGAAACUGAGAAUAAUACUCCAUAGGUCUAGGAUGCUGGAAUGCACUUAGUCUGAAAACUCCGGUGCCUAAGGAUGAAUCUGCGGACUAUCAGGUUGUAGUCAGGGUAAUGACCUGACUAGCCUAUGACGGAUAUGGGUUGUGGGAGCAAUAACCCAGAGAUGAUAUCUGAGACACGAUAUCAGGCCCUACGGGGCGCAGCAGGCGCGAAAACUUCGCAAUGUGCGAAAGCACGACGAGGGAAUCCCAAGUGCUUGCACGUAAGUGUAAGCUGUUUCUCUGUUUAAAACGCAGAGAGAGUAAGGGCUGGGUAAGACGGGUGCCAGCCGCCGCGGUAAUACCUGCAGCUCAAGUGGUGGCUGUUAUUAUUGGGCCUAAAACGUCCGUAGCCGGUUUAUUAAAUGCCUGAGUAAAUCGGACCGCUUAACGGUUCGAAUUCCGGGUAGACUGAUAAACUUGAAACCGGGAGAAGUUAGAGGUACUCCUGGGGUAGAGGUGAAAUUCUGUAAUCCUAGGGGGACCACCAGUGGCGAAAGCGUCUAACUAGAACGGGUCUGACGGUGAGGGACGAAGCCCUGGGGCGCAAACGGGAUUAGAUA